GCGGGUAUCGUAUAGCGGCUAUUAUCUCAGUUUUCCAAACUGANNGCGGGUUCGACUCCCGCUACCCGCUCCA
This 73-nucleotide transfer RNA is filed under the name Candidatus Uhrbacteria bacterium. RNAcentral's name for it is "tRNA-Gly". It matches the Rfam family "tRNA". From Rfam's summary of the family: Transfer RNA (tRNA) molecules are approximately 80 nucleotides in length. Their secondary structure includes four short double-helical elements and three loops (D, anti-codon, and T loops). Further hydrogen bonds mediate the characteristic L-shaped molecular structure. tRNAs have two regions of fundamental functional importance: the anti-codon, which is responsible for specific mRNA codon recognition, and the 3' end, to which the tRNAs corresponding amino acid is attached (by aminoacyl-tRNA synthetases). tRNAs cope with the degeneracy of the genetic code in two manners: having more than one tRNA (with a specific anti-codon) for a particular amino acid; and 'wobble' base-pairing, i.e. permitting non-standard base-pairing at the 3rd anti-codon position. The record is from RNAcentral. Lineage: Bacteria; Candidatus Uhriibacteriota.